GAUGAACGCUGGCGGCGUGCCUAAUACAUGCAAGUCGAGCGAACAGACGAGGAGCUUGCUCCUCUUACGUUAGCGGCGGACGGGUGAGUAACACGUGGAUAACCUACCUUUAAGACUGGGAUAACUUCGGGAAACCGGAGCUAAUACCGGAUCAUAUAUUGAACCUCAUGGUUCAAUAGUUAAAGCCGUUUUUGCUGUCACUUAUAGAUGUAUCCUCGCUGCAUUAGCUAGUUGGUACGGUAACGGCUUACCAAGGCAACGAUGCGUAGCCGACCUGAGAGGGUGAUCGGCCACACUGGAACUGAGACACGGUCCAGACUCCUACGGGAGGCAGAAGUAGGGAAUCGUGGGAAAUGGGCGAAAGACUGACGGAGCAACGCCGCGUGAGUGAAGAAGGUCUUCGGAUCGUAAAACGCUGUUAUUAGGGAAGAACGCAUGUAUAAGUAACUAUGCACGUCUUGACGGUACCUAAACAAAAAGCAACGGCUAACUACGUG
RNAcentral lists this ribosomal RNA (497 nucleotides) under uncultured bacterium. RNAcentral describes it as "partial 16S ribosomal RNA". It matches the Rfam family "Bacterial small subunit ribosomal RNA", at positions 28 to 507 of the family's 1533-position model. The record is from RNAcentral.